UACCAGCACCCCGAGUGGUCGGGACGAUUAUUGGGCCUAAAGCAUCCGUAGCCGGUCCUGCAAGUCCUCCGUUAAAUCCACCCGCUCAACGGUUGGGCCGCGGGGGAUACUACAGGGCUAGGAGGCGGGAGAGGCAAGCGGUACUCGAUGGGUAGGGGUAAAAUCCACUGAUCCAUGGAAGACCACCAGUGGCGAAGGCGGCUUGCCAGAACGCGCUCGACGGUGAGGGAUGAAAGCUGGGGGAGCGAACAGG
Molecule: ribosomal RNA, 253 nt
Filed under: uncultured bacterium
Lineage: Bacteria
Description: partial 16S ribosomal RNA
Rfam family: Archaeal small subunit ribosomal RNA
Source: RNAcentral